Non-coding RNA from Xyrichtys novacula (pearly razorfish), 2989 nucleotides. NCBI's taxonomy places the organism in Eukaryota, Metazoa, Chordata, Actinopteri, Labriformes, Labridae. The record is from the annotation of a GenBank genome assembly.
AGUCCUGACCAAUCGUGCACAGAGGGUAAGAUCUGUGACUGAUUUCGCAAUCGAGUCACAAGAGAAAAAGCAGAGUGUUCAGGCUGCAGAUCUCAGACUGAAUAUAUGAGGACCUGAGGACUAGAGCACCUGAGGACAAGGUAAACCUGAGCUUUAUUUUACAGGUAGACCUAAACUCCAGACUAAGUGAAUGUAAACUCUUAAUUUUCUUUGAAAACUGUGCUUUUGUGCUGUUAGGUUAUUAUUAUUAUUCUUUUUUUUUUACGUUUCUCUCGGUAAAUAGUUGUUUCAAGCUUUUUUUCAGUCUGAUCUGUAAUAUCCAUGUGCAGUAGAAACAUCUGCCAUCUUUAUAAUUUAUCUUAUUUUGAAACCCUUAGGUCUGAAUAAGUUGCUUUCUUGUUACACACUUUUGCAAAGGGAGCUUUACUGCUUUUCCAACCAUUAAAUAAUUAUCCUCUUUCAAAAUAAAAGCCUGAUGACAUUGAUUACUUUCAGAAACCAAAAAACUUACUGUAUAAACCUGCAGUAGCUGAAUUUACCUCCACUCUGGUGUGAGACGACAGUAUAGACUUAAGAAAAGAGUGGAAAAAAAAACAAAGUCUCAAAGAUUCUUUUGUUGUUUUUAUCAUUUUGAGAUAAAAACAUAUUUGUACUUAACGAUCUAAUCUUUGAAUUUCAGCCGGAAAAAUGAGAGCUGCAGUGUGUGUAACCCUCCUCCUGCUCAGUCUGUAUCAAGGUACGUGCGUUUUUAUUCUCUUUACAGACACAAACUGAGAACUUUGUUAAAAUAAAUUCAAAACUACAGGAGAAAAGGCACACUUUGCAUGUGUGACUAAAUGUAAAGAUGUGUUACUAAUCAAGUGUUUUAAUGUGUGUGCGUGUGUGUAUGUGUGUGUUUGUCCAGGUGAGGCCCUGAGGUGUAACUACUGUUUCUCGAAGGACAGUGAGCUCUGCAAUCCCACCGGCAUCCAGAACUGCCCAAGAACUGCAGACGCCUGCGCUGACGUCAUUUUCCAGGCCCCACUCAGUAAGCCCCUCCAAUAAAAAAACAAAUGUCAACAUUUUUAUCCAGCUCAUUUUGUGGGCAUGUAAAAUAUUUCAUGUAAUUUAGAUUUUAUUCUUUUAUUUCUGCCGACCUGCCGCUGAUUUUGAAGCAGGAGCCAAGUUCAAGUUAAAGAAUGAUCUCUUUUUUUUCAGUCCUCGUGUUGAGACAUUUCUCAGAUGUUCUUUUAAUUUUACUUGUAGGAACUCAGAGUAUAUCCUCAUACCUACAGACAUAGUGUGAGUUAAAAAUAAUUCAGUGUAAGAUUCAGAAUGCAGAAUGGAAAACGUGGACAUCUUGUUUUUUUUUCAGUGCAGUGCAAUUGGUCAGUUAAACGUUUUCUCUUACUAUAUUAAAGCUAUGGUCUACGAUCUGAAAACCAGUUUGGCUGUUGAGACAGAUUUGAAAAACACAGCCUGCCCCCCCUUCACUCACCCCUCCCCUCUGUGUUCCAAGAUCCCACCCCCCCAGCUCGUGUCGCCUCCUAACAACACGCCCUCUGAUAGAGCAAGAAGCCGGCUGGCUAAAAAUAUCAGCAGUUGUACACAUUGGUAGCCAUUUCAACUGGACCAGCGGGAUCAAAACCAUAUAUUAGCGGGGUGAAGCGGGUCUGGCGUUGCCACUGCUAGCCGGUCAGAGCAGAGCCGAUUGUGGGCAAGGCUUUACCUGUCUUGGCGUGUCUUCACCAGCUCAGUUUACAAUGCUAAAGAUGCGUGGCUAACUUAUGCUAAAAUCAAUUGACAGAGCCUACCAGUUCCGACCAACAACAUUCAGUCAUUAGCCAGUAUCGGCACAGACUAACCAGAGUUAUUCAGCAGACAUCUCCCACUGUAGUAAACAAAGUAAUUAUCUGUUCAACAGAAAUUCGUCUGUCUUGUGUCAGUUUUCAGUCCCAAAUCCUUCUGCAGCUUUUUCCACCGGUCGUACGUUUCUCCAGUGUAGACUCUCUGUUAGCACCUGUAUCGCUAAUAUUUCUUCCUUACUUCAGCCUUUUCCUCAAAAUUUUUACGUUUCCUUUCCUUCGAUGUGGAGGGUAACAGAAGCGGCCUCCUGGUUUCUGUGUUUGUCUUCUCCGACUCCAUUACGCUUCAGUAGCUGUGCAGCUAGCUAAUCACAUGUACGUAAGGUGGUAGUGGGGAGUGAGGCGGGACCAUGGGCUGGACGGUGCGGAGUCACGAACUCGGAUUUGUCGAUUAUUAUGCCUUUUUGCAGCGGAUAUACUGAAUGGAUUUUUUUCGUUCUUUUUGAUCUUUAUAUUGCGUAGAUCGGACCAUAGGACCAUAACAGCCUUAUAAACCGUGUUAUUAUGAAGUACCAAGCUUCCAAAUGUAGGACCAUAGCUUUAUUUCCACCCUAAUUCAAACAGGCCACAACCAUCCUGAUGAUGUCAAACUGAUAAAAUCACAACGUUUUUACUCAGCAGUUGAUUUUGCACCUCUGAAAUCAUUCCCACAUAACCUGAACUCACCCUGACCCCCUGCGGACUUUAUUUAAAAGUCACAGUUUAACAUCAUACCUGUCUGUUUCCUCUCUCAGGGGGUCAGUCUUUCCGAUCCUGCAUGAACAUGGCGGUGUGUCAGGGUUACAUCAAAACGCCCGGCAUCUUCGCCAGCUGCUGCAGCACCGACCUCUGCAACUAACACUCCACCUUCCUCCCAGUCCAGCAGAGGACCACCUGAUCUGAGCUCUGCGCAAACAUGUUCUGCUACACCGCUGCCAUGCAAAUAAAAGUCUGUUUGACUACUUUAUAUGAGGAGAGGAGUGAGUUUGUGAGCGGCUUUAAUCAUUUGUUUAAGGUCAAAUUUAAAUCAGGGAGCAGCAGUACCGCUGAGCGACACUAGAGAGCAGUAGAGCGCCGUGGGAUGAAUCUAGCUGUAUCCUCAGUGUGUUUUUAAAGAGCAUUAUUAAAAGACAAAUAAAGAAUUGGAGUGACAUUUUGCUAUCAGA